GUCAGAUUCAACAUUAUGCAAGAUUAUUGUAUAGGAGCAAUUGCCAAUGAUUUGAAAUAAAAACCAUGGAAGAAAAAUCAACAUUACUGUUCUAUUAAGCUGUUUCUCCCCCCUAGGAGUUAAGAAAAGACCUCUCACUAUUCUAGCAGUAUAGCAUAUUUGUUCAAUUCCAGAAAGAUGGGAACUUAGUCUAAAAAUGACUCUUUGAGCAACUCAUAUUUUUCUGGAACUCUAUGUAAAAGCAAAUUAAUAUAAAUAUAUAUGUUUUGAGAUACUGGGACAUCACACUUUUUUUUAAUCUUUCAGUUGAAUUUCUUCCCAAAUAGAGAAUAUUUUUAUUCUUUGAUUCUUCUAGCCUAUCUGUAUUUUAUGAUCAGAUUUUGCUAAAACAGACCUGAAGAUGCACCUGGAUAAUUAGGUAAUUGAGUAUAAUUUGGAAAGUCAGUGCUUAUAUAAACCAUGCUUAAUAAUGGACUAUUUUGAUUCUGUCUUGACCCUAGAACUUAAGUCUCAGGAAGUUAUUAUUUAUGAUGAUGUAGACCUGAGUGAAAAAGAGUCAAAAGAUGAAGAUAAACUGAAAAUGUGGAAGCCCAAGUU
Molecule: long non-coding RNA, 597 nt
Filed under: Homo sapiens (human)
Lineage: Eukaryota; Metazoa; Chordata; Mammalia; Primates; Hominidae
Description: non-protein coding lnc-PLPP3-6:1
Source: RNAcentral